Molecule: ribosomal RNA, 500 nt
Filed under: uncultured bacterium
Lineage: Bacteria
Description: partial 16S ribosomal RNA
Rfam family: Bacterial small subunit ribosomal RNA
Source: RNAcentral
AUUGAACGCUGGCGGCAUGCCUUACACAUGCAAGUCGAACGGCAGCACGGGAGCAAUCCUGGUGGCGAGUGGCGAACGGGUGAGUAAUGUAUCGGAACGUGCCCAGUCGUGGGGGAUAACGUAGCGAAAGCUACGCUAAUACCGCAUACGAUCUAUGGAUGAAAGCGGGGGAUCGCAAGACCUCGCGCGAUUGGAGCGGCCGAUAUCAGAUUAGGUAGUUGGUGGGGUAAAGGCUCACCAAGCCGACGAUCUGUAGCUGGUCUGAGAGGACGACCAGCCACACUGGGACUGAGACACGGCACAGACGCCUACGGGAGGCAGAAGUGGGGAAUUUUGGACAAUGGGGGCAAGCCUGAUCCAGCAAUGCCGCGUGCAGGAUGAAGGCCUUCGGGUUGUAAACUGCUUUUGUACGGAACGAAACGGUGAGCUCUAAUACAGUUUGCUAAUGACGGUACCGUAAGAAUAAGCACCGGCUAACUACGUGCCAGCAGCCGCCGUAA